RNAcentral lists this ribosomal RNA (468 nucleotides) under uncultured bacterium. RNAcentral's name for it is "partial 16S ribosomal RNA". It matches the Rfam family "Bacterial small subunit ribosomal RNA", at positions 28 to 507 of the family's 1533-position model. The record is from RNAcentral.
GACGAACGCUGGCGGCGUGCUUAACACAUGCAAGUCGAACGGAAAGGCCCUGCUUUUGUGGGGUGCUCGAGUGGCGAACGGGUGAGUAACACGUGAGUAACCUGCCCUUGACUUUGGGAUAACUUCAGGAAACUGGGGCUAAUACCGGAUAGGAGCUCCUGCUGCAUGGUGGGGGUUGGAAAGUUUCGGCGGUUGGGGAUGGACUCGCGGCUUAUCAGCUUGUUGGUGGGGUAGUGGCUUACCAAGGCUUUGACGGGUAGCCGGCCUGAGAGGGUGACCGGCCACAUUGGGACUGAGAUACGGCCCAGACUCCUACGGGAGGCAGCAGUGGGGAAUAUUGCACGAUGGGCGGAAGCCUGAUGCAGCAACGCCGCGUGCGGGAUGACGGCCUUCGGGUUGUAAACCGAUUUCGCCUGUGACGAAGCGUGAGUGACGGUAAUGGGUAAAGAAGCACCGGCUAACUACGUG